This 76-nucleotide microRNA precursor is filed under the name Daphnia magna. Lineage: Eukaryota; Metazoa; Arthropoda; Branchiopoda; Diplostraca; Daphniidae. The record is from RNAcentral.
GAUGAGUGAGGAUCGUUAGUCGCGUUGAAAACGUUCCUCAAGUUAAGAGUUCGUGACUAGAUCUGACACUCGUCCA